This 253-nucleotide ribosomal RNA is filed under the name uncultured bacterium. RNAcentral's name for it is "partial 16S ribosomal RNA". It matches the Rfam family "Bacterial small subunit ribosomal RNA", at positions 524 to 776 of the family's 1533-position model. The record is from RNAcentral.
UACGGAGGGUGCAAUCGUUGUUCGGAAUCAUUGGGCGUAAAGCGCGUGUAGGCGGCCUGGUAAGUCGGGUGUGAAAUCCCGGGGCCCAACCCCGGAACUGCAUUCGAAACUGCCUCGCUAGAGUCCCGGAGAGGAAGGCGGAAUUCACGGUGUAGAGGUGAAAUUCGUAGAUAUCGGGAGGAUCGCCAGCGGCGAAGGCGGCGUGCUGGACGGUGACUGACGCUGAGACGCGAAAGCGUGGGGAGCAAACAGG